AUAUAUCUCUUUGCUUUAGGCAUUAGAAUGUGUAGAAAUUGCAAUUUUGCAAAGUGAAAAACCUCCUCGACGUUGCUUCUACAAACUUCCUAUUUCCUAAAUCGUUGAUGCUGGAGGUGAUUGUUCCGGCUUAAAUUGUCUAUUGCUGCGAAGGUCCACUGUGUCCAAUUACAGCGGGUUCACGGAGCACUUGGAAAAAGCAAUCAAUGUUGGUGAACCGCAAAGGUAUUUUGCUGCGCGAUAAUGCAAUCCCGUAUUUCGUUUUUGUGAUCUGUGUCAAGCUUCAAACUUACGAAUAGGAACUUCUUAUAUAUCUUCCGUAUUCUCUUGACGUUAGUUCUUUGCGCUAUUAUCUCUUUUUAGACUUUAAUAAUCUGCAAACUCUACAGUUCAAAAACAGGAAUAAUGAAAAUACUGUGAGAAUAUUCAGGAGGGGUCGCGAGAUAGACGUUUGUAGACCUAGCUUUGUCUCAAAGGCGACCGGAAAGUCAGUGACGCCGUUCUUUGGGGAUCAAGAAAUUCCCGGGUGUCUCCAAGGCGACCACCGUAGAUGGACACUUUUACUCGACGUAAGUUGGCUUGUUUCUGGAAAACAAGCUCGUAAAUAUAUCCUAGGAGUAGGCUCUCUAUGCCAGUAAGCAGUCGACAGUAUCGAUAUCCUCCUAGGAAUAACGACCGGGGUAAUGAUAUUCUACUUCCUCUCAAGGGCACCUUUGUAAUAUGAUUUCACCCCGAUAAUUCAACGAAUCUUGCCCCGACAGGUAGAUCCUUGAUCAAAUUUAUAUAACUUUCUCCAACCUAUUCUCGUUUUAUUUCUGCCACCAGUAUAUUGGAACAGAAAUAUAGUGCAGGAAAUUUAGUUUUUGUAUAAAUUGAUAUCUAUGUGUUUAUCUAUAAGGAAUGUAAUUUUGUAAAAAUAUAUAUAUGACGAU
This 932-nucleotide unclassified non-coding RNA is filed under the name Bombus terrestris (buff-tailed bumblebee). RNAcentral's name for it is "misc RNA ENSBTSG00005035203.1". The record is from RNAcentral. Lineage: Eukaryota; Metazoa; Arthropoda; Insecta; Hymenoptera; Apidae.